This 103-nucleotide microRNA precursor is filed under the name Marmota monax (woodchuck). The record is from RNAcentral. Lineage: Eukaryota; Metazoa; Chordata; Mammalia; Rodentia; Sciuridae.
AUACAGUUACAUAGGAAUCUUGUUAAAAUGCAGAUUCUGAUUCAAUAGGUUUGAGGUGAUGCUUAAGAUUCUGUAUUUCCACAAGCUCCCAGGUAAUGUUGGU